This 81-nucleotide long non-coding RNA is filed under the name Scleropages formosus (Asian bonytongue). Its description in RNAcentral is "lncRNA (ENSSFOG00015025213.1)". Lineage: Eukaryota; Metazoa; Chordata; Actinopteri; Osteoglossiformes; Osteoglossidae. The record is from RNAcentral.
GUGUGAGCAUCAUUCGGUCUUUUUCGUGGAACGAUAUCUCAAAUUUGGAUAACGAAAACGUCCAGUAACCAGAUCCCAGCG